GCCCCGAUAGGGUAGUGGAUAUCCUUGGAGCCUGCGGAGCUCUAGACCUGGGUUCGAGUCCCAGUCGGGGCGC
Molecule: transfer RNA, 73 nt
Filed under: Methanocella sp. PtaU1.Bin125
Lineage: Archaea; Methanobacteriati; Methanobacteriota; Methanomicrobia; Methanocellales; Methanocellaceae
Description: tRNA-Arg
Rfam family: tRNA
About the family: Transfer RNA (tRNA) molecules are approximately 80 nucleotides in length. Their secondary structure includes four short double-helical elements and three loops (D, anti-codon, and T loops). Further hydrogen bonds mediate the characteristic L-shaped molecular structure. tRNAs have two regions of fundamental functional importance: the anti-codon, which is responsible for specific mRNA codon recognition, and the 3' end, to which the tRNAs corresponding amino acid is attached (by aminoacyl-tRNA synthetases). tRNAs cope with the degeneracy of the genetic code in two manners: having more than one tRNA (with a specific anti-codon) for a particular amino acid; and 'wobble' base-pairing, i.e. permitting non-standard base-pairing at the 3rd anti-codon position.
Source: RNAcentral